Molecule: transfer RNA, 90 nt
Filed under: Clostridium sp. M14
Lineage: Bacteria; Bacillati; Bacillota; Clostridia; Eubacteriales; Clostridiaceae
Description: tRNA-Ser
Rfam family: tRNA
About the family: Transfer RNA (tRNA) molecules are approximately 80 nucleotides in length. Their secondary structure includes four short double-helical elements and three loops (D, anti-codon, and T loops). Further hydrogen bonds mediate the characteristic L-shaped molecular structure. tRNAs have two regions of fundamental functional importance: the anti-codon, which is responsible for specific mRNA codon recognition, and the 3' end, to which the tRNAs corresponding amino acid is attached (by aminoacyl-tRNA synthetases). tRNAs cope with the degeneracy of the genetic code in two manners: having more than one tRNA (with a specific anti-codon) for a particular amino acid; and 'wobble' base-pairing, i.e. permitting non-standard base-pairing at the 3rd anti-codon position.
Source: RNAcentral
GGAAAGUUGAGUGAGUGGCUUAAACUAUUUGUUUGCUAAACAAACGUACAUCAUUAUGUACCACAGGUUCGAAUCCUGUACUUUCUUCCA